Molecule: long non-coding RNA, 759 nt
Organism: Oncorhynchus tshawytscha (Chinook salmon)
Lineage: Eukaryota; Metazoa; Chordata; Actinopteri; Salmoniformes; Salmonidae
Exons: 2
Source: RefSeq, a predicted model, not a curated record
GAUUGAUGGUAGGAGGAUGGUGAGGGUAGAGGGGUGUCCUUAAUGUUUUCUAUCCAGUCUGAUUGAUGGUAGGAUGAUGGUGAGGGUAGAGGGGUGUCCUUAAUGUUUUCUAUACAGUCUGAUUGAUGGUAGGAUGAUGGUGAGGGUAGAGGGGUGUCCUUAAUGUUUUCUAUACAGUCUGAUUGAUGGUAGGAUGAUGGUGAGGGUAGAGGGGUGUCCUUAAUGUUUUCUAUCCAGUCUGAUUGAUGGUAGGAUGAUGGUGAGGGUAGAGGGGUGUCCUUAAUGUUUUCUAUCCAGUCUGAUGGUAGAAUGAUGGUGAGGGUAGAGGGGUGUCCUUAAUGUUUUCUAUGCAGUCUGAUUGAUGGUAGGAUGAUGGUGAGGGUAGAGGGGUGUCCUUAAUGUUUUCUAUGCAGUCUGAUUGAUGGUAGGAUGAUGGUGAGGGUAGAGGGGUGUCCUUAAUGUUUUCUAUCCAGUCUGAUUGAUGGUAGGAUGAUGGUGAGGGUAGAGGGGUGUCCUUAAUGUUUUCUAUCCAGUCUGAUUGAUGGUAGGAUGAUGGUGAGGGUAGAGGGGUGUCCUUAAUGUUUUCUAUACAGUCUGAUUACACCUGGUGAUGACUUCUCCAUGUCUGAAACACCUCCCCUGGGUAACAUACAGACCGUAAGUGCUUUUUCUGAACUAGCAAAUAGUCAAGGACGGCUAGCGAGCAGGGACAAACAUUUCCACCCUGUUGAUGAGUAACGGUGAGAAAGUUGGAAAACA